RNAcentral lists this ribosomal RNA (440 nucleotides) under uncultured bacterium. RNAcentral's name for it is "partial 16S ribosomal RNA". It matches the Rfam family "Bacterial small subunit ribosomal RNA", at positions 338 to 795 of the family's 1533-position model. The record is from RNAcentral.
CCUACGGGUGGCAGCAGUGGGGAAUAUUGCACAAUGGGGGAAACCCUGAUGCAGCGACGCCGCGUGAGUGAAGAAGUAUCUCGGUACGUAAAGCUCUAUCAGCAGGGAAGAAAAUGACGGUACCUGACUAAGAAGCCCCGGCUAACUACGAGCCAGCAGCCGCGGUAAAACGGAGGGGGCAAGCGUUAUCCGGAUUUACUGGGUGUAAAGGGAGCGUAGACGGAAGCACAAGUCUGGCGUGAAAUCACGGGGCUUAACCCCGGAUGUGCUUUGGAAACUGUGCGGCUUGAGUGCAGGAGGGGUAAGCGGAAUUCCUAGUGUAGCGGUGAAAUGCGUAGAUAUUAGGAGGAACACCGGUGGCGAAGGCGGCUUACUGGACUGUAACUGACGUUGAUGUUCGAAAGCGUGGGGAGCAAACAGGAUUAGAUACCCGGGUAGUC